CCUACGGGUGGCAGCAGUGGGGGAUAUUGCACAAUGGGGGAAACCCUGAUGCAGCGACGCCGCGUGUGGGAAGACGGUCCUCUGGAUUGUAAACCACUGUCCCCAGGGACGAAUAUGACGGUACCGGGGGAGGAAGCUCCGGCUAACAACGUUCCAGCAGCCGCGGUAAGACGUAGGGAGCGAGCGUUGUCCGGAAUUACUGGGUGUAAAGGGAGCGUAGGGGGGACUGGUAGUUGGGUGUAAAAUCUACCGGCUCAACCGGGAGCCGCACUUAAAACUGCAGUUCUUGAGUGAAGUAGAGGCAGGCGGAAGUCGUAGUGUAGCGGUGAAAUGCGUAGAUAUUAGGAGGAACACCAGUGGCGAAGGCGGCCUGCUGGGCUUUUACUGACGCUGAGGCUCGAAAGUGUGGGGAGCAAACAGGAUUAGAUACCCUGGUAGUC
RNAcentral lists this ribosomal RNA (440 nucleotides) under uncultured bacterium. Its description in RNAcentral is "partial 16S ribosomal RNA". It matches the Rfam family "Bacterial small subunit ribosomal RNA", at positions 338 to 795 of the family's 1533-position model. The record is from RNAcentral.